CCGAGUCCCGCCCCCAAGCUCCGGCCCCGGGGUGGUCCCCGCCCAGUUCUAGCGCCUGUUAUUGUUGGGACUGGAGCCCAGAGUGAUCCCGCUGCGGCGACGGCUUGCUCUGACAAAGAUUGGAGAAAAAGACUGGAAAAGAAUGAAAUUAAUCUUUAGAGGACAGGGGAAAUAUGAAAAGAAGAGCCACACGCAGUAAUUUCUGCUGUCAAAUGAAUCCCAGCUCAGCCAAUUGCUAGAGAAAUGAGAAUGGAGGAAAAGCCCCAGGGGGCUGGUGCCUUUGCUUCUGUCCAUGCAGAGACAUCUGGAUUUUAGUGGUAUGAUAUGGGUAACAGAAAAAAGGAAUGAAGAGAAUUUACUUUUGUGAUUUUCUGUGAGAUGACAGAGAAAGAAGACUGUGGAAGUUCUGGGGAAAUAUUUCAAACUUCAAAGACCAGAACCCUAAAAUCUGCUUACUGUCUCACAGAAGCAUUCACUUUAUCCUCUUGACUGAACAAAUGUUUACAGCCAAGUUUGUUGCUGAAUGUCUGAAUUCUGCUGAAGACUUUCUUCCUUUCUGUGAAUAAGAGUGGUUUGGAUAUAUUUUUCUCUUUAUCUCAUAUGCUUCUUUCAGCUAGACAUUUCAGUUAAAACUCUCAGAUUUAUUACUCACAAUUUUUAACAUUUGUAAACUUUUUAAAGAUAUUUGACAUA
This is a long non-coding RNA of Heterocephalus glaber (naked mole-rat), 693 nucleotides long. RefSeq lists it as uncharacterized. The record is from RefSeq and is a predicted model, not a curated record. NCBI's taxonomy places the organism in Eukaryota, Metazoa, Chordata, Mammalia, Rodentia, Bathyergidae.